GUAAACACCUGAAUUUAUUUACAUUAAAAUGAAUGCAAGAAAAAUCAUUCCUAUCAGAAGUGGCCAAUUAUUCAACAUAAUGAAAAUAAACCAAGCUGUCUGAGAAGCUAUGAAACAUACAAUCAUUUCAAUAAUUUUAUAUAUAAUUGUCUGAAACACCACCAACGGCUCCCUCAAUGCCACAUACAUAUAAUUAUUUGUAUUUAACAAAACUCUACAUAAGAAGCAAAGUCUCCUGUGUCCAUAGUUAUUUUUGUCUAAUGCAUAGAGAUACUGGAAAUGGGAGAACAAAAAGAAAAAAAGAUAUGCAGAGAUAUGCUCCCACUGAGAAGAUGCAAGUAACACAUGACAGGCAUUAUCUUCCAAUGGCAAAGAAAAAGGAAGAAUGGACACACAUGAAUACACUCUUUAGUAGAAGUACACACAAGCUGACAUACACACACACCCUUCCCCACACUACUCCAAAUAAUUUGCAUAUGUAUUAAUAAAUUCACAAGGUCACAUUCAUCUAAAAAUAUCAUUGUCUCUAGGUAAGGCCAAAUAAACAGGAUUUUGCAUUAGAACCUAUGUUGAAUAUAAAUGCUUCGCCCCCUUGAAGGAUGGGUUUAUAGCACUUAGGCAAUUUGUCUCAUAAAACCAGAUUUUCUUUUUAUCUGAUAUCCCCAGUGCAUGUGUAUUUGGAUUCAGAAUGAGAUCCCUAGGAAGACCCUGCCAUAGCAGAGAGCAAAGACAUGAACUUCAAAUACCCACAGACAUGAUACAAGGAUACCAACACGGCUGAACUUUGCUUUUUGUGACAUUGACUCAAGGCAUGUGACACAAAGACCUAACCCUCCACAGCACCUCAAGAUUAAAAAACAGUUUUGAAGCAAGAUAAAUACUUUAGUGUCUUUCUUUCUCCAGUUACUGAUAUUGGCUAUAUAUUUCCUGAAGCGUACGAAGAGCAGAGCAGAGACAGUCCAGGCAUGUUGAGGAGACAAGAGCAUAUCUAACUGGUCAGGUUGUUUUGCCAGCCUGUCCUAUCUAAGUCUAUCAGGUGUAGGGCCAUGCAAUGACAUGUCAGGUCCCAGGGGAAACGUAGACCGAGCCAGCUACAGUCAUUUAAAUAACACUGUGACUUCAGCCCUAAAACAACAAAGACGGCAAUGUGACUUAAAGUUAGCUUAUGCAAAGCACUUCUCUUAAAUAAGCCAGUGGUGAUAAGCUCUACAACUAUCUCUUAAAAUAUGCCAGUGGUGCUAAGCUAUAUACUUCUAUCAGUUCAAAGCUGCAGAGCUCAGGUGGAUACUAUGGUGUGGGAGAAUCCAUGAUGGAAUUUCAUUAAAUCAGCUGGCUCAUCUUGACACCAUAAUUCUUCAAAGUUCUCGGUGGCAAGCAAAGACGGCUACAGCACAUUCUGUUUAGGCAGAACCAUGGUGAGUUCUAAAGUGCCCUCUGACCUUCCCCUGCCCUUGCCUCUGGUGCCAGCUACUUGCUCACUGAUGUUCAGAUGAGGAUGGAGGAGGAUGAUGAGGGGUAUGAUUAGUGGCUAAAACAUGAUGUAUCUGGCCCAGGGGUGCUUGUGUAGGAUGGUGCUGCUGGUGAGAGAUGAGCAUUAGUCUUUGCUAUGCUAUGGAUUCCGCCAGUUUGCCAUCACUGUCAUCUUCCUUUAGGGAGUGUCCUUUGGAACCCCUAUCCUGCACGUCCUCUUCACUGAGGUGUCUCCGAUACAGAGGAGGGCUGUGGGAAGAGAGGGGAGUGGAUGAGAAGAAAAUAAUAAGAGGUUGUAUAUUGGAGAAAUACUGAUGAACUGAAAACUGUGCUUUUG
Long non-coding RNA from Esox lucius (northern pike), 1807 nucleotides. Lineage: Eukaryota; Metazoa; Chordata; Actinopteri; Esociformes; Esocidae. The record is from Ensembl.